GGCUGGGCUGGGCGCCGCCGCAGUAGGACGAGCCGGCGGCCCGGGCCCGCCCUCCGCCCGCCCUCUCUCCCUCCCGCCGGCAGGGGAGGCCGGGCCCACGUGGGGCCGCUGAGCAGUAGGCGGCGGCGGGGUGACCAUGUGUGCCGGGCGGCGUGCCGCCGGCCGGGGCAGCGCCUGAGCUCAGAGCGAUGCUGCGGGGCGGCGCGGGGCCCUACGUGACCCGGCCGCCCCCCUCGCCUUCCUCUUCGCCUUCUCUUUCUCCAUGAGCGCCCCGGCGGCGGCGGCCCCCGUCAGGCUGAUGCCCGGCGGGCACCCGGAGCAGCCGCCCGCCGGCUCUCCCGCCGGGGCCCCGGCUCCCGCGUGCGGCAGCCCCGCCGCCAAGGUGCCCGGCUGCCCGGUGCCCUCCGCUCCCUCCGCGGGGCCCCCGGCGGUGCGGGCGGCUGCUACGGGGGCCCGCGGCCGGUGGUGGUACCCAAGGGGCCGCCUACCGCUACCAUCCAGCUGCCGGCCAACUUCCAGCUGCCCCCAGCUUCUGCCUUUCCCUUCCUUGCCCAGAGUAAAGCCAAGAGGUGGAAAAGUUAGUGCCUGAUGACCAGGUAUUUCACUCCUCUGAGCUUGGAUUAUGCUUCUGUCAUGAGCUAUGUCACCGAGUUUCCCAUGGAAGAUCGUUGAGCUUCACAUGUUCUGCAGUGCAUACAGAGCCCAGACUUGUUCAUGACUAACAAGGGUUUUUCAUCAUUUUCCUCUACAAAAUGCAUGUUUGAGGCUGAAUAGCAGUCUAGUGCCGUGUUCCUCUUUUGUCCUUAAAGUAUCUCCUGUACCAGCAGUCAUGAUGUGGGAGAGCAUGCAUGCAUGCCUGCCUGCCUGUCUGUAUUGUUUUCAGCCAAGGACUCUUUCACACACCUUCAACAGGGCAGAUUCUACCCUGAAGCUUUGGUUGUUGUGUUUUGCCCUUAAAAUACUGUUAGCUCUUAGACUGGAUGGUGGGUCUGUCUUUUCCUAAACAGAAGGAAUAUCUGAUCAUCAGUUAUCAUCUUUGUUAACAAAAACACUUGUGCAACAUUUCAGAGUUUUGUACUUGAUGAACUUGUCUAUAUGACUGGUGAAGACCAGGCAGGCACAAUGACUGCAGCGCUGCCAACAACAUAUGCUUCUGACCCCAGCUCUGGGAGCUGUGUGGUCUGUGCUGUUCCUCCCCAGACUGCAGAUGUCUUCUGUCAUGGACCACAGUCUUAACAGGGGAUUGUACCUUUGGUUAACUUAAGCUUCCUACUGCAGGAGGAAAUUGUUGGGCUGUGCUGUUACAAGGAGGAAAUGGGUAAAGGCGUGGGUAGGAGACGAGUAGUGAGGUUUCUAGUUACCCUUAUUGCAUUUCUGAUUCUCCUUCAUCAUAGCUGAGUAGUGCAAAUAUAUUGUGUUAAGUAAUAUGAAUGUUUUGAAGGGGCCAUGAGAAAUGUUCAUAGCUCGGUUUAGCGUCUUUGGGUCUGGCACUGGUUUGGGCAAGUGGAGAGUAGAGAAGUAGUGUGAAAAUGAGGAGAGCAUCGCCCUUUGAUUUCCUUUUUUCUCAACUUUUCUUGAACGCACUUCUCUCUGUCUGUGUGGAUUUUAUACUGUCCCUGUCCCUCAAAUUGCAUGCAGGUGUUGGAAGGGACAGUCAGUCAUAUCUGCUUCUCUCCUGAAGGGACAACACACUGCAGAGCUCAGCUGGCUGCUAAGCAUCCUCUGUUGUUACCUUUGGAUCUGCUUACUGUGGCAGGCUUUCUGUGGGAGUGAGCUGGUCUGCCUAGCUCUGGUUGGUGCUGCUGGUGAGCCAGUACUGCUGGAGGUGUGUACUUCACACAUCUGGGCUUGUGUCCUGACUCUGCCUUACUUGAGGCUAGCAUGCUGUUGUGAGGCUCAGCUGCUGCACCAGGACUCCUCUCCAUCUGCCUUGGAGGCAAAACAGUGACAGGUACAGGUCCUUGGCUCCUAUUUGCAGCUCAGUUAUCUUCAAUUGUGUAUUUUGGCCUGUCCCUGCCUGCAGCUUAUCUGGGCUGAUAGCGGAUAGCUGUUGAGAAGGCAUGACUCAGUGUCAUGGCAGGAGGCGGGUGGACAGUGAAGCAGGCACCUGCAGGAAGGAGGAGGCAGCUGAAGCAGUGUCCCUGUGUUUCUCCUAAUUGUCUGGGCUCUAAGGUUGUUUGUGUAGGUGAAGGCAGACAAACAUCGGCAUCCGCCUCUGCAGCUAGCAUAGUGGCUUUCCUGUACUGCACUCUGAAUCUCCCUUGUUCCAUUCUGAUGCUGUUUCUUGGUUGAAAAGCUGUGUGAGGGAUGUUUUCAUAGCUGCAUCAGUCCUUUGCUUUGGAAUAGAAGUGCUAAUUUUUAACUUAUUUUGUUUGUUUGUUUAGGAAGUUGUUAGUCAAAAUGUUCUUCCAGCACAUCAGGAAACUAGAGACUUUGCUGCACGGUCUGCAGUUCCUGGAUGUGGACAAUUUCUUGAAUUCUGAGCAUAAAACUUGACCUGUAGAUGUCAAGUGCAUGCUAAAUGAUGCAUUCUUUUGACCUUUAAUAUCCCAGUAGUGCCCUCUACUUAGCAGGCUUACCUGGGUUGAUUGAAAACUUCUCUCUUCAAAAGAGCCAAUGCCAGUCAACUCUUUCCUGAGGGAGGGGUCAUCAAAGCUGUGGCAGACCUGAGGAACCAAUUCAAAUUGAACAGAUAGUGAGUAAAAGUCUUCCACUGCAACCAGUAGCAAUUUCAACUGCUCUGUAGGAUUUGAUUUGACUUUCACAACUGAAUGUGUCUAGCAAAACAAUGCCUUCAUAUCAUUGAACGUGCUGCCCUAUGGGAAUUAUGAUUUAAAUCUUGGCAGUAGACAUAAAGCUAAUUUCUAGAUUUAUGGUUUUCACAUAAAAGCAGAUGCACUCUGAAUACCGAAGCUCUGAAGUACGAUGCUCAGUAAAAUUAGUGUUUUAGGCUGUUCCAAUUGUACAGUCCUUUGGGCUGUAUUGCACAGAAAUACAGCUGUUGAUUGGUGAAUGUUUAACUUUUUUUUAAUCCUUAGAAAAUGUGAGCCUGACUUCUAUUGCUCUUGUGGUAUUUAAAGGACCCUUUAGGUUACAGCAGCAAAAAUAGCAUCAUCCAUGCACAAAUGGAUGAAAAAAUACUGAAGAUAAUUCAGUAUUACGAUCUCAAAGACUGAUAAAGUAGAUAAGCUUUGAGUUGUUUAUACUGAGCAGCUUGAAAUAGCAGCCUUCUUCAAGUUCUCUUACAGAACCAAGUAUUUGCUUUGCCACAUGAUGGAAAUCUGUGGUAUGCUUAUUGAGUAGAAUUACAUCUUACAGUUACUUAUGCAAGUCUUGCUAUAAGUUGCAAAGCUUUUGAGGAGUAUAAGAAAUGAAUAAUGUAUCUAAGGAAAACAUGGUGGCAGAUAGACAAUCCUUGUUACUAAUGAGCAAAUGUGGUUUCUGUUAAGCCUGAAGAACUCGUGAGGCUCAGUGUCCUUGCUGGGUAACUUGGUGGAGCAGAUGGAUGUUACGAUGGCACUUGGUUUUCUUAGCUCAUGGUUGCAGGCCUCUCCUGGUGCACAGUCCCAGUUUGUCAGAGGCAGAAGAGUUGGAUUUGUUAGCAUUAGCUGCUCCUAGGGAAUUUUCUUGCGUGGAUGUUCAGGCAGAAUUGAAAGGUGGGUGAUGCAGGCGCACCACCUGAAGGCUUUCACCUGCAGCUUGCCGAGUGGCAGAUGCCAGAUAGCUGAAGUGGAGCCCUCAGGAAGCCGGAUCCGUCUAACUAUUUGGUGGUGUACUACAAGGGAAUCUUUGUGUUGAAGGAGUUAAGUGUAUUCAUAGCAUCAUUAAGUAUUGCUGUUACCUGGGUGAACAGGCUGACUCCCAACUCACUAAAACCUCUUUUCAGGGAGUUGUAGUGAUAAGGUCUCCCCCUGAGCCUCCUCUUCUCCAGACUGAACCAUCCCGGUUCCCUCAGCUGCUCCCCGUAAGGUUUGUGCACCAGACCCAUUGCAUCUCCAUUGCCCUUCUUCAGAACACCUUUAUAUAACUUCUAGACUGUUCUCUACUGUUGAAAUAUCACACAGUUCGUUACAGUUUCAAUAGUGCCUGAGUAGAGAGGAGUUAAUACUUCCAUGAAAGUUUUGCUGUCUUCUAUGGGAUUUUUUGUUUGCUCCAUCCUGUUUAGGAGAAGGGGGACAAUAAGAGUUAAAACUCGGUGUUAAGCCCCUUGCUUGCCUUACUGAAAUAUAUGAAAAUUCAUCAAAUAAAUUUGUACUGUUAGAGGAAAUCAAAUGGAAUUCAACCUGCUGCUGCUGUUCUCUGUGUGAACUCCAAGAAAACAGAAGUCUCAUUGUAAAGCUAAUCUGGAUUAGUUGAGUUAAUUCUCCUCUUAGUUAAAGAAGACACAGAUCUAAAGGGGAAUGAUACUGCCUUGUAUUCGUACUCUGUAGUGGUGCCAAAUUGUUUUUUUUACCAUCUCUUGAUUUAAAAUGAAGUUUUUAUAAUCAAAUGUUGUUUAAGUUUCUUGUUCUUUGUAACAACUUCUCUCUGAGUCUUCUGGUAAUGGUAAGUGCAGGGUACUGGUUCUUAUGAAGCUGUGUGCUGCAAUGUGUCAGACUUCAAACUUAAGUUUUAAAUAAUUUCAGUAAAGACUAGGACUUCAGGGCAAGC
Molecule: long non-coding RNA, 4650 nt
Filed under: Gallus gallus (chicken)
Lineage: Eukaryota; Metazoa; Chordata; Aves; Galliformes; Phasianidae
Source: RNAcentral